Molecule: ribosomal RNA, 3454 nt
Filed under: Candidatus Calditenuaceae archaeon
Lineage: Archaea; Thermoproteati; Nitrososphaerota; Candidatus Caldarchaeales; Candidatus Calditenuaceae
Description: partial 23S ribosomal RNA
Rfam family: Archaeal large subunit ribosomal RNA
Source: RNAcentral
GCACCUCGGAUAUGGUGCGGGAAGUCGGGGGCCACUGGCCUCCAAGGCUAAAUACGUCCCAAGACCGAUAGCGGACCAGUAGCGUGAGCGAAAGGUGAAAAGUACCCCGGGAGGGGGGUGAAAAGCGCCUGAAACCGGCCGGUAACAGACGUGGGCGGCCCGAAAGGGAAAUCCCCGUCAAGGCCUCGAUGAGGGGCCGCGCGGGGACAAUCCCAGGGUCGCCCGCUCCGUCUUGAAACACGGGCCGGGGAGUUCACGGGUGUGGCGAGUCUAAGGGUGAAAGCCCGAAGGCGUAGGGAAACCGACGUGCCCGCGGCGGCCUUGAGCCGCGAGGGGCGGGGUCCGAAAGGGCCUGUAGCCACGCCCGUGAGGCUAGAAACCGGGCGAUCUAGCCCUGGGCAGGGUGAAGCCGGGGGAAACCCCGGUCGAGGCCCGAAUAGGGGUCCUGACGUGCAAUUCGGUCCCCUGACCUGGGGCUAGGAGUCAAAAGCUAACCGAGCCCGGUGAUAGCUAGUUCCCCCCGAAGUGUCUCGCAGGACAGCCUCGGGGGAGGUUGCCUGCGGGGUAGGGCACUGAUGGGGGAGAAAGGGGCCGGCGAGGCCCCGCUCUCCUUUCAAACUACGAACCCGCGGGCGCCGUAGAUCCCGGGAGUGGGGUACCGGGGGUAAGCUCCGGGACCGAGAGGGGAACAACCCAGACCCCGGGUUAAGGCCCCGAAGUGCCCGCUAAGUGACAAACCGAAGGGCGUCUCCACCCUGAGACAGCGGGGCCGUAGGGUGAGAAGCAGCCAUCGGCGAAGUAGUGCGGAACAGCUUACCCGCCGGGUGUGGGGGCCCCGAACAUUGACGGGGCUAAGCGGGCCGCCGAAACCCGGGCUCACCCGCGCCGUGCGCGGGCGGGGGUAGGGGGGCGUGGCGGUCGGGCGGAAGCGGGGCCGUGAGGUCCCGUGGACCGGUCGCCAAUGUAGAUCCCGGUGGUAGUAGACAGCGAAGAGGGGUGGGAAUCCCCUCCGCCGGAAGGGCACGGGUUCCCCGGCAAUGCGUCGUCAGCCGGGGGUAAGCCGGUCCUAAGGCCGACCUUAACCGGGUAGGCCGAAGGGGAAGCCGGUUAAGAUUCCGGCGCCUCCCGGGUAGUCGCGGCGACGCAAGCCGGGCCCCUGACGCUUCGGGGUAGGCUGACCGGGGCCGUAGCUCCGGCCAAGCGCUGAAGCCUGGGGAGUGCCGUAAAGGCGAGAACCAGGUGAAGGCGCGACGGGGCGGCGUAUGCCGCUUCGGUCGAUCCCUGGAGCCCGUGAAAAGGGGGUCCGGUUCGAUCCCGGGAGACCGUACCUAGAUCCGACACUGGUGCCCCUGGCUGAGAAGGCCAAGGCGUCUGGGGUGACUCCGGGCCAGGGAACUCGGCAAAUUAGCCCCGUAACCUCGGGAGAAGGGGUGCCUGCUUUCCUCUCCGACGAGGAGGGGUUGGCAGGUCGCAGUGACAAGGGGGUCCUGACUGUUUAAUAAAAACAUAGGAAGCCGCGAGGCCGAAAGGCUUCGAACGGCUUCUGAAUCCUGGCCAGCACCGGUACCUGAAACCCGGGUCCAACCGGGAUAAGGGCCGGCUAGCGCCGGGGGUAAUCCUGACCCUCGGGUAAGGGGGUCGUUAAACGCGGCUGUAUGCGGGGAAGGGGGAGGUCCUGGAUACCCUCGGGGUAACAACUCCAUGACCGGUGAUCCCGACCCGCAGGAAACCGCCCCGUGAACGGCUAAUACCGGACGUCGCUCAGACAACUCGGUGACCCUCGCCUACCUGAUCGGCGUCAUGCUCGGAGACGGCGGCGUCUACGGCAACUAUUACACCGUCUUCUGCAGGGACCAGUCCUUUGAGUUCGUCGAAUACGUCGCCCGACUCGUGGAGGAACUCUUCGGGAUAAGGCCGAACGUGAGGAGGGCAGGCUCGAAUAACUACGUCGCCUCGACGAACGUCCGCUGGGUCCACAACUUCCUUCUGAGGAUAGGGUUCCCGAAGGGGCGGAAGCUCGUCAACGCCGAGAUACCGCCGCUCUUCAGGGAAAGCCUGGACGUCGUCAGGGGGCUCUUCGACACCGAGGGCUACGUCGGGGUCGACGUUCAGCGGCACGGCGAGAGAGAGUAUCGGUACCCAUACGUCGGUUUCGACGCGAUCGCGAGACCCCUCGUCGUCCAAUCGCACCACAUCCUCUCCGCCAACGGGAUCCAGUCCACCUACUCCCUGAAACGACCUCAUGCGUGGGGGAAACACCAGCAGUGGAGGCUGCAGGUCAAGGGAUGGGAGAACGUGGAGCUGUUCCGCGAGAAGGUAGGGUUCAGGCAUCCCGUCAAGGCGGCAAGGAUCGAGCAGAUUUUGCGUGAGGGCGGGAUCCUCAGAGACCAUACGCCGCGCACCCGUCAGGGGUGAUGAUAUGGUCCACCACCAACUCCUGUUGGUGGAGCUUAAGGUAGCCAAAUGCCUUGUCGGGUAAGUUCCGACGCGCAUGAAUGGAUCAACGAGGGCCCCACUGUCCCGGCCCGGAGCCCCGUGAACCCACGUAACGUGGACGAACAGUCCACGGACAUCCAUCAGGGAGAGAAGACCCUGUGGAGCUUUACUGCAGCCUGUCGCUGCGGUACGGUUGCGGGUGCAGAGGGUAGCUGGGAGCCUUCGAAGGUGCCUCUCCGGGGGCACCGGAGGCGCAAGUGUAACACCAGCCACCUGUGACUGUAUCGCUAACCCCGCGAGGGGGACAACGGCAGGUGGGCAGUUCGGCUGGGGCGGCACCCCCUUGAAAAGGUAUCGAGGGGGCCCAAAGGUUGGCUCAGGCGGGUCAGAACCCCGCUGGUGAGGGUAAGGCCAAAAGCCAGCCUGACUGGAUCCCUAAACGCAGGGGAUCCAGAGGGGAAACCCGGGCCUAACGAUCCAUCCAGUCCCCACUAUUGGGGGCGGGUGGUGACAGAAAAGUUACCCCAGGGAUAACAGGCUUGUCGCGGGCGAGAGCUCCCAUCGACCCCGCGGCUUGGUACCUCGAUGUCGGCUCUUCCCAUCCUGGCCUCGCAGCAGGGGCCAAGGGUGAGGCUGCUCGCCUAUCAAAGGGGAACGUGAGCUGGGUUUAGACCGGCGUGAGCCAGGUCGGAUUCUACCUGCUGGGGGUGCGGGCCGCCUGAGGGUAGGGCCCUCCUAGUACGAGAGGAACGGAGGGCCGGGGCCAACGGUGUACCGGUCGUCCUACAGGGCGACGCCGGGCAGCCGCGCCCCUGGGGAUAAGGGCUGAAAGCAUCUAAGCCCGAAGCCCCUCCCAAAAAUAGGCGGCCGAUCGGGGCCUAUAGGGCCCGGUAACGGGCCUUGGGCCCCGACGAGGGCUCCCCUAGAAGAGGGGGUUGAUGGGGUGGGCGUGUAAGGGCGGAGGCGUACGCCGGACGCCCUCAGCGCGCCGCUCCCAAUCGCCCGAGCUGCUCGGAUC